Non-coding RNA from Thamnophis sirtalis, 1969 nucleotides. The record is from RefSeq and is a predicted model, not a curated record. NCBI's taxonomy places the organism in Eukaryota, Metazoa, Chordata, Lepidosauria, Squamata, Natricidae.
GGAGACCCCGCGCUGACUGCUGCUCAAACAUCACGAUAUAUAUAGACUACUUGAAUCUGCCUUUGAAUUGUGUUUCCAGAUGGUACUGCUCCAGAUAGAUCCGGUAUGCAAUCUUGAUUCCUGUUGGAAAAACAGUUGGCAGCUCUGGCCAAGAGGCUUUGGCACACCUUUGGGUUAUGCGCCACUUGCACUCAUACCUGGAUUGGGAGUCUCUGCUCAUUGUCACUCAUGCCCUUGUGAGUGACCGACCUUUGGUCUGGAUUUUUCAAAUGUGUUCUAGUAGAACUCCCCUUGGAAGGGAUUUGGAAGCUUCAACUGGUACAGAAUGCAGCUGCACAGAUAGUAAAUGAAAUUGGGUACGUGGUACAUGUAACACCACUGCAUUAGUUGCUGGUAUGUUUCUGGAUGCAGCUAAAGGUGCUGGUUGUCACCUUCAAAGCUCUUUAUGGCUUGAGAUUGGCUUACCUGAGAGACCGUCUUCUCCCAGUUGUUUCUACCUGUCCAAUCCAGUCCCAUCAGGAUGGACACGCUCCAAAUCCUGUCAGCCAAGGAACAUCAGCUGUCAUGGACUAGGAUACAUGCCUUUUCUGCCAUAGUACUUGUCCUCUUCCUUCAGAGAUUAGGAUGGCCCCAUGUUCGCUCUUUGUAAGAUCUUGGAGUCAUGGUUAUAUGCCUGGGCCUAGGAUCCCAAGUAUGUGAAGCAUCCUGUUUCCUGGAUAUCUGCAGAUCAUCAUUUUCUCAGCUACUGUGUAUAUUUAUUUUUUGUAUCCUGCUUGUAAUUUGGUUUUAAUUGAUUUUAUGACAGUUCGCCGCCCGGUUAUUUGUUUGAGAUGGGUGGCUAUAUAUCUUGAAUAAAUAUAUCUCCAUCAGAUUUUAAAAGGCAAAUCAGAGGUGACACACACUCACAUAUACGCACAAUGUACAAAACUACAUGAUUAAGUAUGAUUUUUAAUUGUAACUUGAUCAAUACAAAAUAUCCUAAAACUACAAUCAGUCUGGGCUCUAAUUAUGGAAGGACCUCAUAGAUUACAGAAGAAGAAUUGUUUGUUGAAUUAUGGGUUUUUUUUGUAAUUUUCCUGAUUGCAAAUGUGUGGAUAUAUGUAAUAAAUAUUAUACACAGCAAGACACAUACAUACACACACACACACACAAUUAGGUAACUAAGUUUAUUCAGUAUUUAUUAGAGAGCAAAUCCUAAACUAAAAUGAAAACUGCUUGAGUAUCCAUGUAUUGUGACCAAUGCAAAAUAAAAAAGCAUUUUUUCUGAAAGUUAGCUCUUGACCCUAUUUGGUAGAAAUUUGAUUUUAUUUUCUAUCCCAUGUUUCUUCCACUUAGGAAAAGAGAAGAUAAUUUAAUUUCAAGUCAACAAUCCAAAGUCUUUAAACAACCUGAUCUCUUCUUGGCACCAGAAAAUAUUGUCAGGACCAUAUAUAACUUCCCGUGGGGCAAUUUUACACAUCAAUAUUGCAAUCAAAAACUCUAACUGAGAAGAGUCAAGUCAGGAUAACAUUGUGGUUCCCCCACACCUUUUCCAUUGAGAGAGAUAUUAGAAGCUGGAAAGGAGGGGUUUUUUUUGUUUUUUGUUUUGUUACCAAGGAUAGCUACUUUAUAUUUCAAGAGGCUUUUAUAUGCAGUUGUUAUUUAAACUCAACAUUUCAGGUACCAAACUCUGUGUGAAUUAACUUCAGUAGGAGAAUCAUCACAUACUUGUUCCUGGACUAGGUCUGGUCUCAAGAAUCACUAUCUCCCGUCAAUUCAGAAACUAAGAAAAAUGAGUAGUCCUUUUGGCAAUUCUAAGGAAUGGCAUGUGUUUGGGGAAAAUAUUUAAUAUAUCUAGCUGAUAUUGGGAGAAAUCAUAGACAAUCCAAUAUUCUGUCUUUAUUUUUUAAAUUUUGAACUCACUUGAGAUAUUCUUGCCAGUUGAUUUCAUAUUGUAGAAUUGUUUCCGUAUACUGAUAAUAAAUGAACC